Regulatory RNA element from Candidatus Brocadia fulgida, 117 nucleotides. It matches the Rfam family "c-di-GMP-I riboswitch aptamer". Rfam says of the family: GEMM was predicted in a large-scale screen for bacterial structured RNA regulatory elements. Genes associated with GEMM are involved in a diverse array of functions, including chemotaxis regulation, signal transduction, secretion and chitin. NCBI's taxonomy places the organism in Bacteria, Pseudomonadati, Planctomycetota, Candidatus Brocadiia, Candidatus Brocadiales, Candidatus Brocadiaceae. The record is from Rfam.
UAACGAGAAAGGUAAACCCUGAGUGAUCAGGGGGCGCAAAGUAGUGGAUCUUUAAGCCGACACGGAAGUGGUUUAGAAAACACGAUCCCCAGGAAUAAAGACAGCCUUACUGCCGAA